RNAcentral lists this ribosomal RNA (1012 nucleotides) under human gut metagenome. RNAcentral describes it as "bacterial LSU rRNA". It matches the Rfam family "Bacterial large subunit ribosomal RNA", at positions 1636 to 2665 of the family's 2925-position model. The record is from RNAcentral.
AGGUGCCCGUACCGCAAACCGACACAGGUAGGUAGGAAGAAGAUUCUAAGGCCAACGGGAGAAGGGUUGUUAAGGAACUCGGCAAAUUGACCCCGUAACUUCGGGAGAAGGGGUGCUCCAGAGAUGGAGCCGCAGAGAAUCGGCCCAAGCAACUGUUUACCAAAAACACAGGUUUGUGCUAAAUCGAAAGAUGACGUAUACGAGCUGACGCCUGCCCGGUGCUGGAAGGUUAAGAGGAGAUGUGCAAGCAUUGAAUCGAAGCCCCAGUGAACGGCGGCCGUAACUAUAACGGUCCUAAGGUAGCGAAAUUCCUUGUCAGGUAAGUUCUGACCCGCAUGAAAGGCGUAAUGAUUUGGGCACUGUCUCAACAGCCCGCCCGGCGAAAUUGUAGUACCGGUGAAGAUGCCGGUUACCCGCGACAAGACGGAAAGACCCCAUGGAGCUUUACUGUAGCCUAAUAUUGGGUUUCGAUGUUGCAUGCACAGGAUAGAUGGGACACAGGGAAACAAUCGCUUUGGCGGUUGCGGAGUGGCCGUUGGGAUACCAUCCUUGCGAUAUUGGAAUUCUAACCUGCGGCUCUGAAUCGAGUCGGGGGACAUUGUUAGGUGGGCAGUUUGACUGGGGCGGUCGCCUCCUAAAAAGUAACGGAGGCGUUCAAAGGUUCGCUCAGCUUGAACGGAAAUCAAGCAAAAGAGUGCAAACGCAGAAGCGAGCCUAACUGCGAGACUGACGGGUCGAGCAGUAACGAAAGUUGGAGUUAGUGAUCCGGUGGUAUGUGAGUGGAAAUGCCAUCGCUCAACGGAUAAAAGUUACCCUGGGGAUAACAGGCUGAUCUCCCCCAAGAGUCCACAUCGACGGGGAGGUUUGGCACCUCGAUGUCGGCUCAUCGCAUCCUGGGGCUGUAUUCGGUCCCAAGGGUUUGGCUGUUCGCCAAUUAAAGCGGUACGCGAGCUGGGUUCAGAACGUCGUGAGACAGUUCGGUCCCUAUCUGUCGUGGGCGCAGGAUAUUUGA